Molecule: ribosomal RNA, 420 nt
Filed under: uncultured Rummeliibacillus sp.
Lineage: Bacteria; Bacillati; Bacillota; Bacilli; Caryophanales; Caryophanaceae
Description: bacterial SSU rRNA
Rfam family: Bacterial small subunit ribosomal RNA
Source: RNAcentral
AGGGAAUCUUCCACAAUGGACGAAAGUCUGAUGGAGCAACGCCGCGUGAGUGAUGAAGGUUUUCGGAUCGUAAAACUCUGUUGUAAGGGAAUAAAGUGAGGCACGUGUGCCUUAUUGUAUGUACCUUAGGAAUAAGCAUCGGCUAACUCCGUGCCAGCAGCCGCGGUAAUACGUAGGUGGCAAGCGUUGUCCGGAAUUAUUGGGCGUAAAGCGCGCGCAGGUGGUUUCUUAAGUCUGAUGUGAAAGCCCACGGCUUAACCGUGGAGGGUCAUUGGAAACUGGGAGACUUGAGUGCAGAAGAGGAAAGUGGAAUUCCAAGUGUAGCGGUGAAAUGCGUAGAGAUUUGGAGGAACACCAGUGGCGAAGGCGACUUUCUGGUCUGCAACUGACGCUGAGGCGCGAAAGCAUGGGGAGCAAACA